Molecule: long non-coding RNA, 374 nt
Organism: Zea mays
Lineage: Eukaryota; Viridiplantae; Streptophyta; Magnoliopsida; Poales; Poaceae
Exons: 2
Source: RefSeq, a predicted model, not a curated record
CGAAGCAGAGGCGGGAUACGGGCGGCAGGUCAGGAGCAAGGCGUAAGAUUCACGUACAGACUGGAUUGGGCGCGGGGUGAAGCCGUAGAGGAUGGGACCGGAGAUUCGAAUCGGCCGGAUGAGAUACGGAGGGAAGGAGAGGAGGAUAGGAUUUUGAGAUGGUCCAGCGAACUGGGGAACGAGAGUGGACGACGGAACCGAACCGGAUGCCGCUACUCUUGCUGCUCUGAAGAGAUGUACGUAUUUCUGAAAUCAUGGCCGAACCCAACCCGACCCAUCGUGUAAUUUUUUUCGAUUUUAGGGUUAGUUUGGAAACCCAUUUUCUCAAGAAAUUUUUAUUUUCUCCAAAUAAAAUUAGUUUAUUUUUAAGAAAA